GAUGAAGAACGUAGCGAAAUGCGAUAAGUAGUGUGAAUUGCAGAAUUCAGUGAAUCAUCGAAUCUUUGAACGCACAUUGCGCCCUUUGGUAUUCCUUAGGGCAUGCCUGUUCGAGCGUCAUUUAAACCUUCAAGCUCAGCUUGGUGUUGGGUGACUGUCCGCUUCACCGCGGACUCGCCUCAAAAUUAUUGGCGGCCGGUACAUUGGCUUCGAGCACAGCAGAAACGCGAACUCGGGCCCGUCGUAUUGGCUCCCAGAAGCUAUCUUCACAAUUUUGACCUCGGAUCAGGUAGGGAUACCCGCUGAACUUAAGCAUAUCAAUAAGCGGAGGA
Molecule: unclassified non-coding RNA, 332 nt
Filed under: soil metagenome
Description: partial contains 5.8S ribosomal RNA, internal transcribed spacer 2, and large subunit ribosomal RNA
Rfam family: 5.8S ribosomal RNA (bases 1-120)
Source: RNAcentral